This 64-nucleotide transfer RNA is filed under the name Botrylloides nigrum. RNAcentral describes it as "transfer RNA-Ser(UCN)". The record is from RNAcentral. Lineage: Eukaryota; Metazoa; Chordata; Ascidiacea; Stolidobranchia; Styelidae.
GAAGUUAUAGUUAAAUUAAUAAUAAAUAGUUUGAAACUAUUGGUUGGUAUGGUUACCUGCUUCU